This 494-nucleotide ribosomal RNA is filed under the name uncultured bacterium. Its description in RNAcentral is "bacterial SSU rRNA". It matches the Rfam family "Bacterial small subunit ribosomal RNA", at positions 28 to 520 of the family's 1533-position model. The record is from RNAcentral.
AUUGAACGCUGGCGGCAUGCUUUACACAUGCAAGUCGAGCGGCAGCGCGGGGGCAACCCUGGCGGCGAGCGGCGAACGGGUGAGUAAUGCAUCGGAACGUACCCUGGAGUGGGGGAUAACGCCGCGAAAGCGGCGCUAAUACCGCAUAUGCUCUGAGGAGGAAAGUGGGGGACCGCAAGGCCUCACGCUCUGGGAGCGGCCGAUGUCCGAUUAGCUAGUUGGUGGGGUAAAGGCUUACCAAGGCGACGAUCGGUAGCUGGUCUGAGAGGAUGAUCAGCCACACUGGGACUGAGACACGGCCCAGACUCCUACGGGAGGCAGCAGUGGGGAAUUUUGGACAAUGGGGGCAACCCUGAUCCAGCCAUGCCGCGUGAGUGAAGAAGGCCUUCGGGCUGUAAAGCUCUUUGGUCGGAGAAAGCGCCUUGCCUAAUACGCGAGGUGGUUGACGGUACCGGCAGAAUAAGCACCGGCUAACUACGUGCCAGCAGCCGCGU